RNAcentral lists this ribosomal RNA (468 nucleotides) under uncultured bacterium. RNAcentral describes it as "partial 16S ribosomal RNA". It matches the Rfam family "Bacterial small subunit ribosomal RNA", at positions 28 to 507 of the family's 1533-position model. The record is from RNAcentral.
GACGAACGCUGGCGGCGUGCUUAACACAUGCAAGUCGAACGGAAAGGCCCUGCUUUUGUGGGGUGCUCGAGUGGCGAACGGGUGAGUAGCACGUGAGUAACCAGCCCUUGACUUUGGGAUAACUUCAGGAAACUGGGGCUAAUACCGGAUAGGGGCUCCUGCUGCAUGGUGGGGGUUGGAAAGUUUCGGCGGUUGGGGAUGGACUCGCGGCUUAUCAGCUUGUUGGUGGGGUAGUGGCUUACCAAGGCUUUGACGGGUAGCCGGCCUGAGAGGGUGACCGGCCACAUUGGGACUGAGAUACGGCCCAGACUCCUACGGGAGGCAGCAGUGGGGAAUAUUGCACAAUGGGCGGAAGCCUGAUGCAGCAACGCCGCGUGCGGGAUGACGGCCUUCGGGUUGUAAACCGCUUUCGCCUGUGACGAAGCGUGAGUGACGGUAAUGGGUAAAGAAGCACCGGCUAACUACGUG